AGUGAACGCUGGCGGUACGCCUAACACAUGCAAGUCGAACGACUACAGAACAUUAGGGUGCUUUUACGGUGGGCGAGGGCCGGACGAGACGUGAGCAACCUGCAAUUUACAUUUGGGUGGGCGAGGACAACCGUGGACAUUCGCGAAUACCUCAUGCCUCCUGCGUGUGAAAGCAGAGAAUCUUCCGACCGAGCGGGAUUGGAUGGCCCGAUGUCCGAUUAGUUGGUUGGCAGGGGAACGGCCUACCAAGGCAAGGAUGGGUAGCUGGGUUGAGAGACCGACCAGCCAGAUGGGGACUGAGACACGGCCCAGACUGCUACGGGAGGCAGCAGUGGGGAAUCUGGCACAAUGGGCGAAAGCCGGAUGCAGCGACGCCGCGUGCGGGAUGAAGGCCUGCGGGUUGUAAACCGCUUUCAGCAGGGACGAGGCGAAAGUGACGGUACCUGCAGAAGAAGCCCCGGCUAACUACGUG
This 472-nucleotide ribosomal RNA is filed under the name uncultured bacterium. RNAcentral's name for it is "partial 16S ribosomal RNA". It matches the Rfam family "Bacterial small subunit ribosomal RNA", at positions 30 to 507 of the family's 1533-position model. The record is from RNAcentral.